AGAGUUUGAUCCUGGCUCAGGAUGAACGCUGGCGGCGUGCCUAAUACAUGCAAGUCGAACGAACUUCCGUUAAUUGAUUAUGACGUACUUGUACUGAUUGAGAUUUUAACACGAAGUGAGUGGCGAACGGGUGAGUAACACGUGGGUAACCUGCCCAGAAGUAGGGGAUAACACCUGGAAACAGAUGCUAAUACCGUAUAACAGAGAAAACCGCAUGGUUUUCUUUUAAAAGAUGGCUCUGCUAUCACUUCUGGAUGGACCCGCGGCGUAUUAGCUAGUUGGUGAGGUAAAGGCUCACCAAGGCAGUGAUACGUAGCCGACCUGAGAGGGUAAUCGGCCACAUUGGGACUGAGACACGGCCCAGACUCCUACGGGAGGCAGCAGUAGGGAAUCUUCCACAAUGGACGCAAGUCUGAUGGAGCAACGCCGCGUGAGUGAAGAAGGGUUUCGGCUCGUAAAGCUCUGUUGUUAAAGAAGAACGUGGGUAAGAGUAACUGUUUACCCAGUGACGGUAUUUAACCAGAAAGCCACGGCUAACUACGUGCCAGCAGCCGCGGUAAUAC
Molecule: ribosomal RNA, 563 nt
Filed under: uncultured bacterium
Lineage: Bacteria
Description: bacterial SSU rRNA
Rfam family: Bacterial small subunit ribosomal RNA
Source: RNAcentral